GACGAACGCUGGCGGCGUGCUUAACACAUGCAAGUCGAACGGAAAGGCCCUGCUUGCAGGGUACUCGAGUGGCGAACGGGUGAGUAACACGUGGGUGAUCUGCCCUGCACUUCGGGAUAAGCCUGGGAAACUGGGUCUAAUACCGGAUAGGAGCCAUUUUUAGUGUGAUGGUUGGAAAGUUUUUUUCGGUGUAGGAUGAGCUCGCGGCCUAUCAGCUUGUUGGUGGGGUAAUGGCCUACCAAGGCGGCGACGGGUAGCCGGCCUGAGAGGGUGGACGGCCACAGUGGGACUGAGAGACGGCCCAGACUCCUACGGGAGGCAGCAGUGGGGAAUAUUGCACAAUGGGCGCAAGCCGGAUGCAGCGACGCCGCGUGGGGGAUGACGGCCUUCGGGUUGGAAACUCAUUUCGCUAGGGACGAAGCUUUUUGUGACGGUACCUAGAGAAGAAGCACCGGCUAACUACGUG
This 466-nucleotide ribosomal RNA is filed under the name uncultured bacterium. RNAcentral's name for it is "partial 16S ribosomal RNA". It matches the Rfam family "Bacterial small subunit ribosomal RNA", at positions 28 to 507 of the family's 1533-position model. The record is from RNAcentral.